ACCAUAAACUUAUCAAUCUAAAUCAAUUCUUAAAGAUUAUGCUCGUCAGCAAUAGUAGUCACAUCUAACAUCAGAUAUACAAAGAAAUAACUUCCGAAGAUAUUUUCCAACAGGUUCCAUCAAAAGGGAGAAAUAACUUCCGAUCAUUUAUGACUCAACUCUCAAGUCAUUUUUCUUGCACUUACUAUCAACAUUUAUACCUAAAAGUUUCAUCAGAACAAUACCAAAAUUUUUAAUAUUAUGGAUAGUUAAUA
Molecule: unclassified non-coding RNA, 254 nt
Filed under: Hevea brasiliensis (rubber tree)
Lineage: Eukaryota; Viridiplantae; Streptophyta; Magnoliopsida; Malpighiales; Euphorbiaceae
Source: RNAcentral